UACGAAGGGGGCGAGCGUUGUUCGGAAUUACUGGGCGUAAAGGGCGCGUAGGCGGUCCUUCAAGUCAGGCGUGAAAGCCCCGGGCUCAACCUGGGAACCGCGCUUGAGACUGGCGGACUCGAGUUCGGGAGAGGAUGGCGGAAUUCCCAGUGUAGAGGUGAAAUUCGUAGAUAUUGGGAAGAACACCGAUGGCGAAGGCAGCCAUCUGGACCGACACUGACGCUGAGGCGCGAAAGCGUGGGGAGCAAACAGG
Molecule: ribosomal RNA, 253 nt
Filed under: uncultured bacterium
Lineage: Bacteria
Description: partial 16S ribosomal RNA
Rfam family: Bacterial small subunit ribosomal RNA
Source: RNAcentral